Molecule: unclassified non-coding RNA, 520 nt
Filed under: uncultured Glomus
Lineage: Eukaryota; Fungi; Glomeromycota; Glomeromycetes; Glomerales; Glomeraceae
Description: SSU rRNA
Rfam family: Eukaryotic small subunit ribosomal RNA
Source: RNAcentral
AGCAGCCGCGGUAAUUCCAGCUCCAAUAGCGUAUAUUAAAGUUGUUGCAGUUAAAAAGCUCGUAGUUGAAUUUCGGGAUCAGUAUGUUGGUCGUGCUUCGGUACGUACUGUCAUUACUGGUUUCUACCUUCUGAAGAACCUGAUGUCAUUAAUUUGGUGUCUUGGGGAAUCAGGACUGUUACUUUGAAAAAAUUAGAGUGUUUAAAGCAAGCAUACGCUUGAAUACAUUAGCAUGGAAUAAUGAAAUAGGACGUUUGAUUCUAUUUUGUUGGUUUCUAGGAUCGACGUAAUGAUUAAUAGGGAUAGUUGGGGGGCAUUAGUAUUCAAUUGUCAGAGGUGAAAUUCUUGGAUUUAUUGAAGACUAACUACUGCGAAAGCAUUUGCCAAGGAUGUUUUCAUUAAUCAAGAACGAAAGUUAGGGGAUCGAAGACGAUCAGAUACCGUCGUAGUCUUAACCAUAAACUAUGCCGACUAGGGAUCGGAUGAUGUUAUUUUUUAAUGACUCAUUCGGCGCCUUACG